UCCGGGGGAAGCUCGCCGAUGAGGCCACACGCGGGGUGCAUGUCACCCGCCCUCGCCUCUGGGAAGGUCUGAGACUGGGGCCCGCGCCGCCCCAGCAGGGCGCCGCCCGCGCGGGCGGGUGAGCCCCCAGCCAUGGGGCCCGGCCGGGGCCGCUCCGGGCAGGAGAAGCGGCCGCGCCCCGGCGCCCCGCGGAUGCCCAGCCCCGGCCCGGCUUGGGAACGACUCACGGCCGGCAGCACGAGUGCAAUGGGCCGAGGCAGCGCCGCCCGCGGGGCUGCAACCCAAUUCAGACUACUCUCCCCUGGG
Molecule: RNase P RNA, 306 nt
Filed under: Alligator mississippiensis (American alligator)
Lineage: Eukaryota; Metazoa; Chordata; Crocodylia; Alligatoridae
Description: Nuclear RNase P
Rfam family: Nuclear RNase P
About the family: Ribonuclease P (RNase P) is a ubiquitous endoribonuclease, found in archaea, bacteria and eukarya as well as chloroplasts and mitochondria. Its best characterised activity is the generation of mature 5'-ends of tRNAs by cleaving the 5'-leader elements of precursor-tRNAs.
Source: Rfam by way of RNAcentral